RNAcentral lists this non-coding RNA (26 nucleotides) under Homo sapiens (human). Lineage: Eukaryota; Metazoa; Chordata; Mammalia; Primates; Hominidae. The record is from RNAcentral.
UUCUGAAUGGGACCUAAAGCACAAAC